UCUACGCGGAGGGACAUUACCGAGUUUACAACUCCCAAACCCAAUGUGAACGUUACCAAACUGUUGCCUCGGCGGGGUCACGCCCCGGGUGCGUAAAAGCCCCGGAACCAGGCGCCCGCCGGAGGAACCAACCAAACUCUUUCUGUAGUCCCCUCGCGGACGUAUUUCUUACAGCUCUGAGCAAAAAUUCAAAAUGAAUCAAAACUUUCAACAACGGAUCUCUUGGUUCUGGCAUCGAUGAAGAACGCAGCGAAAUGCGAUAAGUAAUGUGAAUUGCAGAAUUCAGUGAAUCAUCGAAUCUUUGAACGCACAUUGCGCCCGCCAGUAUUCUGGCGGGCAUGCCUGUCCGAGCGUCAUUUCAACCCUCGAACCCCUCCGGGGGAUCGGCGUUGGGGAUCGGGACCCCUCACCGGGUGCCGGCCCUGAAAUACAGUGGCGGUCUCGCCGCAGCCUCUCCUGCGCAGUAGUUUGCACAACUCGCACCGGGAGCGCGGCGCGUCCACGUCCGUAAAACACCCAACUUCUGAAAUGUUGACCUCGGAUCAGGUAGGAAUACCCGCUGAACUUAAGCAUAUCA
RNAcentral lists this ribosomal RNA (577 nucleotides) under Trichoderma hamatum. RNAcentral's name for it is "eukaryotic LSU rRNA". The stretch from base 203 to 356 matches the Rfam family "5.8S ribosomal RNA". Lineage: Eukaryota; Fungi; Ascomycota; Sordariomycetes; Hypocreales; Hypocreaceae. The record is from RNAcentral.